GACGAACGCUGGCGGCGUGCUUAACACAUGCAAGUCGAACGGAAAGGCCCGGCUUUUGGGGGGUGCUCGAGUGGCGAACGGGUGAGUAACACGUGAGUAACCUGCCACUGACUUAGGGAUAACUUCAGGAAAGUGGGGCUAAUACCGGAUAGGAGCUCUUGCUGCAUGGUGGGGGUUGGUAAGUUUCGGCGGUUGGGGAUGGACUCGCGGCUUAUCAGAUUGUUGGUGGGGUAGUGGCUUACCAAGGCUUUGACGGGUAGCCGGCCUGAGAGGGUGACCGGACACAUUGGGACUGAGAUACGGCACAGACUCCUACCGUACGGAGCGGUGCAGAAGAUUGCACAGUGGGCUGAAGCCUGAUGCAGCACCGCCGCGUGCGGGAUGACGGCCUUCGCGUUGUAUACCACUUUCGCCUUUGACGAAACGUGAGUGACAGUAAUGGGUAAAGAAGCACCGGCUAACUACGUG
Molecule: ribosomal RNA, 468 nt
Filed under: uncultured bacterium
Lineage: Bacteria
Description: partial 16S ribosomal RNA
Rfam family: Bacterial small subunit ribosomal RNA
Source: RNAcentral